GACCAGGAUAGCUCAGUUGAUAGAUCAUGAGACUCUUAAUCUCAGGUUCGUGGGUUCAAGCCCCAUGUUGGGCA
Molecule: non-coding RNA, 74 nt
Organism: Podarcis lilfordi (Lilford's wall lizard)
Lineage: Eukaryota; Metazoa; Chordata; Lepidosauria; Squamata; Lacertidae
Source: the annotation of a GenBank genome assembly